Molecule: long non-coding RNA, 3968 nt
Organism: Vespa crabro (European hornet)
Lineage: Eukaryota; Metazoa; Arthropoda; Insecta; Hymenoptera; Vespidae
Exons: 5
Source: RefSeq, a predicted model, not a curated record
CUGCUGCUGCUGCUGCUGCUGUUGCUGCUGCUGCCGCCGAUACCGCCGCCGUUGCCGCCGCCGUUGCCGCCGCCGUUGCCGCCGCCGUUGCUGCCAUUGAAGGAACGCAUACCCGCCUUCGGACGCGGUCGGCUCGCCUGUUCGUGCGAGCAAGCAGGAAAAAGGCCGACCACCUACUCGCCUACACUACUGAAGACCGAUGGCUACCACUAGUUCGAUCGUACGUGCGUGCGGAUCAAAAUCCGCAUAGCGUCUUCUUCAACUGAUUUAUUUUCGCCUCUAUCUUUUAAUAAUCAUCUCUUGAGUGUUUUUAUCAAUUAUAAAAUAUUUCUUUUGAUUUGAAUUUUUUCGCUUUGAAAGGGCAAAACAUACAAUGUGAUAUUUGAAACGAUUUGGAAUUUAAAAAACGUGUUAUGAAAAGUACUAUGGGAUCAACACACGAAUUUCUAUGUAAUAUUUUGCAAAACAAAUCUCUAUUAAUUUCGAAUUGCUUGCGUUAGGAAUAAUUUACUUAAUAUAAAUGUAAAUCAAUAUGGACAAUUGCUAAAAUUUGAUCGAUUCUGGGUGAUAGCAUCUUCUGCCGACAAAAUUAUUAGUGGCAUUUGAAGAUCCCACAAAGAGGGAUCUUCUAAGACCUUUCACACGCAUAAACGAUCCGUUGCUUUUCUCAAUGAACAGAAUUGAAUGCGAAGCAAUAAUAUUGAAUUAACAACGAACUCGUUAUGUAUACGAUGACUACGUUGCCCAUAAUAAUGGAUUAUUAUUUGCAUUCUAAAUUUCUCUUACCAAAUAUAUAUUCUCUUUAAGUAGUAAAGUGAAAGGAACGAAAAGAACAAGUUAAACGCAUCAAUAUUUGCGCAACGUUAAGGACUAUCUUGACAUCGAUAUUCGCGGUAGGUAAGAAAGGAAUCUCCAGAUCCGAAUUUGUCGCAGUCACGCUCGUCUAUUCCUGAAGACGUUCCCGAUGGACCGUCAGGGAGCUGUCAAUCACCGUUCAGGGACUUCUUGGAAUCCCCGAACGACGACACGUACUAGACGAGCCGUUCUAACCUAAACUGGAUGAUAAGCUAUCGUAAUUAACAUAUCCUUUUCUUAUCCUUUUGUACUAUUGCAUUUGCAAUAUUCAGAAUGGAAAUGCACAGUUGGUAUAAAUAAACGUGGAUAGCACGGAACGCACAUGUAUAGUGAAUGUAUACUUUUAUUAUACUUAUAUGUCUAGAAACGGAUGAUUACGUGUCCACAUGAAACAUGUAAAAAAAUCGAUAAAGACCUAAUGAAGGAGUGACGUGGAAAAAUUUUGGCAUGAGGAUUUGAAGGAUGGGGAAAGGAAUCGGUUCGUUGGGUGCGAGGUUCGCCGCGUCAUCCGACAAAUCGUGAAUCCGAGAGACACGAGGAAAGGAAAAUACCGGAAGAGGAGGGGCGUUUGAGCAAAGCAUCGGGACCAGGGGGCAAUUAGUUAAUUGAAUUGAUUGAUGGAUUUCGUUCGCGUAACGCGCGCUUCGACUCAACGUCUGAUUGAGAGUCUCCACUCGGCCUCCAUGUGUACACACAAACCGUCUACCCCGCAGCAUUUCGCACCCAAUAAAGGAUUCGAACGUGGCUUUUAGAAAGGCUAUGUAGGUAUUAGAAAAUUUCCUUCUGUGUGUAAAUAUUUGAAGAAUUUGACAAAGUUAUUCUAAUUACAACGCUGAGCUAAACUAGCUUUACCACGCCCAAUAGAACCUUUCGAAAAUCAUUUUAAUGAAUACGAAGAUAAAUUCAACAAUAAGAUUACUUCUCGCGGGUGCCUCUCGAAUUAGAAUCGUGGAUCUCGCGAGUAUGGUUAAUCCAGUUUUAAAAUGCGCUACAGACACACUAAUAAGUUGAAACCAGUCAAUUAGAGCGCUUGCUCCGGCGUCCUAAGCAAACACUUGCAGGUGUUUGAACGGCGUUCGCGGCUAUGGUGGGUACGGUCGGUGCGAGGAGGUGUAAGGCCAACGAGAAAGGGUAAAAGCUCCCUCGGUAUGGUGUCUACUAAUGUAAUAUCGCGCAUGGGAGGCAAGAAUAGAUGGAGAAAUGCGUCGACGAGCUCAUAGAUGAGACUCCAAACCAAGUUACAUCUUCUAAUUCUCUAUAUGUUGGAUGGACAAAAAAUAUUUAUAUUCAUUUUAUAAAAAAUAGUGGCGCAUUUUUGAUGAUAAAAUAGUCAUUUAAUGUGAUAUAGGAAGAUACUCGAUUAAUUGCUACAAUCUUCAUUUUUUCCUUCACUUUUUAAUUCUCCUUUCUUCUCCCUCUUUCUGUCUUUGUUUUUCUCCUUCAUCGAUAUUUGUAAUCUUCGCGUUCGCUCGUCGUACGCACGUCAUUUGCCAUGUUGCCUUUCGACAAAACUUUCAAACAAACUCCGAAGCUUUAGAGAAGUGAAUCGCGCUGAGAGUGACAGAGGGAUGUCUUUCCAAAGACAAAGACCGCGCUUCUUGCUGAGACAGAGAGAAGAGUGGAAAGAGGAGGAAAAGGAGAAGAAGGGAGAGGACCUAGAGCUCUAUCCUUUCUUGUCUUUAGACAAUUCUGAGGGAAGACGGUUUAGGCUCGUUCACGAGAAACUCGGUAGAUCAAAGGGAUUUUGAAGAUCGUUCGGUAAAGCACGUUUGACUUUGUGACUCACGUUUUCAGAGAGCGUAUCAAUUAGACCACAUCAUUAGAAACGAUCCUACGUAGUAUCUACUACCACCACUAUUCGGACCAGACUUUACGUGUCGUGAAUGUACCUUUUCAACAAAGUUCUAACCCCGUUAACAUUGCGAAAGGCGUUACCGUCCGUAACAAAAGAGCGCGAAGUAGAUUACAAAUGUUUAUGAUAUACCGUGGAAAUACUUUGAGAUUCGUUUAUCGCCAGCUUUGCGAUGGAAUCACACUUUAAAAAGAAAUAAAUAUUUACUUAUUGUUAAAAGCUUUUCAAUGUUAACGUUAGAUUAACAUCAGAUCAUGAAAGUGAUUAAAAAUGAAUGAAUGAUAAACAUGUAUCAAAAUUAUGAGAGAUGUAUUUUUUACUGUAUACACAUCUAAAUUAUUGUAUACACAAGUCUAAAAAUCAAAUUGCGCUUAUGAUUGUUUUCUCUUUUAACAUAGCAAUAAAGGGUUCAAAAAAGAAAGAAAAAUAUGAUGCGAAAAUAAUCGUAAUCACAAAAUCGGAUAUUAUAUUGUAAUAACCUGUUAAUUGGGAAUGACAAGUUAACUCAUCAUAGGAAAAUACUUCUUCAGCGCAUAAUAUGAGUUAACUCAUCAAACAACUUUAAAGACUAUGCACAUAAAUUUUAAAUUGUAUAUAUCUUUUAUUUUUUAUUAUCAAUUCAUUGAGGACAGGCUUAUGUAUUACGAAAUAUAUAGAAAAUAUUAUAAUAAUAAAAUGGAAUGACAAAAAAAAUAUUUUCAUACUUGAUACAUUUCACAACGACGUAAUGGACAUAAUAAAUAAAUGUAGUAAUUGAAAAAUUAAUAUCACGCAGUCUUUAAUUAUAACAAGAAUAUGGGGUACGUGGACGUAAUUAACAUCCAAAUUGCAGCUUAUAAGGCAUCAAGAAAUGGACUAAAAAGAUAUUAUACAAAAAUAUUUUUAUACAUUUUGGAUAUUAUCUACAUGAAUUCGUAUGAGCUAACUAACGACAUGGUGGAAAGUUAUAUAAAAUAUAUUUCUUAGUGAAAUAUACUGAGAGAACUAUGGCACCUAAUAUACGCUUUCAUAUGAGUCACGAGAAUUUACAACUUUACCCAAUUAUCAAUCAGUUACUCCGAAAGCAACAUGCUUCACUGAAAGGCAUUUCUCAGAUUAUAUAUCUAGUUCAGCAUCCAAAAUAAAUGUAGCUCGUAGAUAUAUGCUGUGUUUAAUGAAAAAAAAUUCUUAAGAAAUCAAGAUAUUGGUAUACCAUAUGUGAAAUAAUAUUAUUCAAUUAUAUCAUGCUGUUCAAUAAAACUAAUUUUCUUUAAAAUUGUUA